This 2083-nucleotide long non-coding RNA is filed under the name Homo sapiens (human). RNAcentral's name for it is "HSALNT0273746". Lineage: Eukaryota; Metazoa; Chordata; Mammalia; Primates; Hominidae. The record is from RNAcentral.
CAUCUGUUUCAGACAUUUAUUUCCAUUUAAAUGACACUUUGAAAGAUCGAGGAGCCAAUCUGUACCGCAAAGACAACUUAUCAUCAAAGACUCUAGAAGUACAAUCGUAUCAAUUCACAAGACUUGAUUUCUUCAACUUAAAUGAUAGCUUUUAGUUAAAAUAUACCUGAGAGAAGAACUCCAAAGGAUGCCUGCCUCAUAAUCUGCCCUGGACUUGUCAUUCCCGACAGGACACCUCAAUGGACACUGCCCCACCCCAUUAAGACUCUGAAGCGUAGGGUCCCAUUGCUUUGCUUCCGAAAUCCAAGGGGAACAAGAAGUACCCAUCUCUUACAAAAAUAAGCAUGUCAACAUUGUUCAGUACAUUUUUCUACACAUAUAAAAUCAAAAUAAAUUGUAAAAAUAUUUUUCCAGGUACAAAAUAAAUAUAGAAAACAUCAAUGUAAAAACAAAAGGAUUGUCCGAUUCAGACCAUUACCUUGCCAAUUUUUCGGGAAGAGUGAAUUAUCACAUCAAUCGACAACCUAAAACUCACCUAGUUAAGUGCAUUAUUUUCAUAAUUUAAUUUUCAUUAAAAAUAAAUAUGAUUAUUAACCAAUAAUAAGGACAUAUACCCAUUUCCAAAAUACAAUGACAUAAGAGUCUAGCAGAUCCCCCUAAUAUACAAGGAAAUGACAGUUUCAAAUAGCAUUCAGUGACAUGUAAAUUUAAUUUCGUGUCUUUUAGGAAAAGCAAAAUUUGACUGCGAAGUCUCCUCUGGUUGCAUUAAGUAAUUUCCAGUCAUGGUAGAUUUUAGUGAUGUCUUAUUUGACCAGGUAAAACAAGUCAUCUAUUUCCCAUCUGAUACUCUCUGGAGCCGAAUUGAACCAAGUAUCACUAUGUCUUUGGCUUACCUCUUCGGGGACCCAGGGACUGGACCCCUGAGCCAACAGACCUCACGCUGGCUUCGCUGGCAGGAGGGUCUGCGCCUGGCUGUGUCCACGCCACACUGGCCAACUUAACUCUGCGCUUCUUUGACCAGUGAAUGGAGGUAGAAUAGAUGAUGUAAAGCAGUAUGACACAAAAUGUUGCAUUUGGCUAUGGAGUUCGUUUUUCUGCUCAUAUUUAAAAGUGAUUGUGUCUGAUAAGUAGGAAGAUCAUUUUUUAAAUUAAUUAAAAACUAAUUUUUUGUUUGUCAGUCUUCCGAUUGGCAGGUGCCAGGAUGCACUCCAACUUCCUCCUGUUGGCGUGGCUCUUGCCCUGUGCAGAGGGUGGACAGGUUCCCUUCAGCUUCAAGGCCAACCUGUAAUCCCAACUACCCACUGGCUGAGGCAGGAGGCUCGUUUGAGGCUCGUUGAGUUCAAGGCUGCAGCGAGAUCAGGCCACUACGCUCCAGCUUGGGUGACAGGGUGAGACCCUGUCAGAAAAAAAGAAAAGAAAAGAAGAGGGAAGGGGAUGGGAGGGGAGGGGAGGGGAGGGGAAACAAUGGGUCUCAAAGAAAAUCCUUUAAGAACACACAGAAGCAGUAGGGAGAGCCCACGCCUGUCCUCAUUUGUCCCUGGAGCUGUGGGCUGUGAGCUGAUGCUGUGAAGGCCAGACCCAAAGCCAGUCACACAGAGGCAGCAGCUGGACCGGCCUCGCCGACUGAGACCAGUGGCCACACAGACACACACCUGACAAGGUAGACCACGAAACACAGACGCAGGCCUACUGCCAAACAGACGACUUCUCCCUCAAAGCACAGUCAUCUUCAGAAUGAGAGGCGGCCCAUCCUAUGGAACCGAGAGGCGUGGCUCUUAAAUUUGGGCUUCAAAAGACAAGCUCAGUCCCUGAUUUUUUCCACCUGAGAAGGAGGCUUUUCUGAACAUGACCCAGUGCGUUCAGAGCAGCCAGGAUGAGGAAACACAUCUACAAAGAAGCAGCUUAAUCCAAACACAAGAAAUGGUAUGCAAAAUAGGAUAUCAGACGUACUUUUGCAAUUGAACAUGGUCAAAACCAUUUUGCAGCAAGUAACUUUUCCUGAGUUCAAGUAAGAGUUUAGUCCAACAUUUAUAUGUGACACAGCCAUGUGAGGCCUCUUCUCUGAGUACAAAGUAAAGUCUGG